CGGGGUGAUUUUUUAUAAAAUAUAGUGUACUUAAAUAUUAUAAACAAUAUACAUUUUGUUAUCAAUAAUUUUUUUUACAUUUGAUUAGAGGUGGACAUUCGAGCACCGUUUGAUUUGAUUCGGAUCCUUGGGGGUUUAGUUCGGUUCAGAUCUUUGUGGGUUUGGUUCGAGUUUGGGUUCAGAUAACCUAUUUAAAUUAUUUUCAAAAAUUAGAGUUAAUAUAUACUUUAAAUUUUUCAAAAAAAAACAAAUAAAUUUGAAUAAUGUAUGCCAAAAUACUGAAAUUUAACAUAAAAAUUGGUUAGCUUAAAUAUUUGGAUAGGAAAUCAAUAUAUAUUUUAGGUAUUAUAAGAAUCUUUUAGUUAUUUUU
RNAcentral lists this long non-coding RNA (370 nucleotides) under Brassica napus (rape). Its description in RNAcentral is "long non-coding RNA (BNAP_LNC018538)". Lineage: Eukaryota; Viridiplantae; Streptophyta; Magnoliopsida; Brassicales; Brassicaceae. The record is from RNAcentral.